Long non-coding RNA from Gymnodraco acuticeps, 446 nucleotides. RefSeq lists it as uncharacterized. The record is from RefSeq and is a predicted model, not a curated record. The transcript has 3 exons. NCBI's taxonomy places the organism in Eukaryota, Metazoa, Chordata, Actinopteri, Perciformes, Bathydraconidae.
UACACCAAUAAAGGGCCCAGGAUUGGGACCCUCGCAAGAGACCUCGACUGGAGUUGGAGGAGGAACAAGCAGAGACGUCGACAGAAUUUGAGGAGACUGGGUUUGAGUUACCACCCUGAUGAUACUGUAGAAGAAUGCGACGUAUCGUAUCACUAAUCCUAGGAUAAUGUUUGUCCAAGAAACUUCUGAAUCUUACACAGAACAAGGACUGUGACACGAAGUUGAAGAGGUGGCUGCGCAGCAUAAAAAACCAUGUCUACUGGAGUGCGACGAGCACAACCUCGGGGCCGGAGAAGGUGGCAAGGUGGACGUCACUGGUCAACCACCUACAAAACGUUCACGUGCAUGAUGACCCCCUGUUCCCCAAGUGCACACAUCCUGUAGGAGCCGCAAGCGAUGCAAAUAAACCUUACCUAAAAGGUGGCUCAAUAACACUCGCCAGAGUU